This 460-nucleotide ribosomal RNA is filed under the name uncultured bacterium. RNAcentral describes it as "partial 16S ribosomal RNA". It matches the Rfam family "Bacterial small subunit ribosomal RNA", at positions 338 to 795 of the family's 1533-position model. The record is from RNAcentral.
CCUACGGGUGGCAGCAGUGAGGAAUAUUGGUCAAUGGACGAGAGUCUGAACCAGCCAAGUAGCGUGAAGGAUGACUGCCCUAUGGGUUGUAAACUUCUUUUAUAUGGGACUAAAAUGUUUCACGUGAGGGAUUUUGUAUGUACCAUAUGAAUAAGGAACGGCUAACUCAGUGCCAGCAGCCGAGGUAAUACGGAGGAUCCGAGCGUUAUCCGGAUUUAUUGGGUUUAAAGGGAGCGUAGGUGGAUUGUUAAGUCAGUUGUGAAAGUUUGCGGCUCAACCGUAAAAUUGCAGUUGAAACUGGCAGUCUGGAGUACAGGAGAGGUGGGCGGAAUUCGUGGUGUAGCGGUGAAAUGCGUAGAUAUCACGAAGAACUCCGAUUGCGAAGGCAGCUCACUGGACUGCAACUGACACUGAGGCUCGAAAGUGUGGGUAUCAAACAGGAUUAGAUACCCCAGUAGUC